ACAUAGGUCCGGACAUCUGCGGUCCUGGCACCAAGAAGGUUCAUGUCAUCUUUAACUACAAGGGCAAGAACGUGCUGAUCAACAAGGAUAUCCGGUGUAAGGAUGAUGAAUUCACACAUCUAUACACGCUGAUUGUGCGGCCAGACAACACCUACGAGGUGAAAAUUGACAACAGCCAGGUGGAGUCGGGCUCCUUGGAGGAUGAUUGGGACUUUCUGCCGCCCAAGAAGAUUAAGGAUCCUGACGCUGCCAAGCCAGAAGACUGGGAUGAACGAGCCAAGAUUGAUGACCCCACAGAUUCCAAGCCUGAGGACUGGGACAAGCCAGAGCACAUCCCUGACCCUGAUGCUAAGAAGCCUGAGGACUGGGACGAAGAGAUGGAUGGAGAGUGGGAACCACCAGUGAUUCAAAAUC
RNAcentral lists this long non-coding RNA (414 nucleotides) under Rattus norvegicus (Norway rat). RNAcentral's name for it is "long non-coding RNA NONRATT014574". Lineage: Eukaryota; Metazoa; Chordata; Mammalia; Rodentia; Muridae. The record is from RNAcentral.